GGAGGAAGCACACCAAACGCAUCACAUGCUAGAAGUAUGACAUUCUUUGGGUGUGGACCAACGCAAGGUAUCUUUGCAUUGGGAAUGUACUCAAUGGGAUAGGCUGCACGAGUGUUCUCUGUGAUAUCAAGAAGAAAACAGUAAUAAAAAUAGAUGAGCCCCAUGUGGCGAGUUCGCCUAGGGCCUUCAAACGUAUAGGGUUGGCCCUGUCAAAAUAUCAAGGUCACGUCCAAUCCCAGUGCGCACUCUAGCUACCACCGGAUGAUGCGGGACAACAAAACCAGUGGAGGCCAGGACAAAGUUGCAGCUAGCUAGCAACAGAUCGGAGGCAGUUUCGGUCAAAUUGGACAAACGGACAACAAAGAAGCCAUCAUCCCCCCGCCUUCUUAAUCAGAUAAGAAGAUUGUCCAUCCCAAUGCCUGCCCUUUUCGGCCUCGAAUGUGGUGAUGAUUAUCUUGACCCGUGUCAAGCACACAAACGUACAAGUGUUUCUUUUUUGUUUUCCAUUUUUUUGGUUCGAGGGGUCAGUGUAUCCGAACUAGCUUGCGUGUACUUCGACUAUUCUCUUUUCAGGUCUAGUCAAAAGGCAUCCACGGAGCAGGGAGCCCCAAGAGGUUGCCAAGUUACUAGAUAGAGUUUUUCUGCUGCCUUUCUUUUGCAAUUUUAGGGCAUAACUGAAACGGUAGUAGUUGUUAGUUAUACCUUGUCCAGAGAGUUCAAGUAAUCGACAGCCCUUUCUCUAUUCACCAUGAAAGUGUGCUCGUCCAUUUCAAUGUUUGG
Rhododendron vialii is the source of this 780-nucleotide long non-coding RNA. RefSeq lists it as uncharacterized. NCBI's taxonomy places the organism in Eukaryota, Viridiplantae, Streptophyta, Magnoliopsida, Ericales, Ericaceae. The transcript is spliced from 2 exons. The record is from RefSeq and is a predicted model, not a curated record.